GCCUACGGGGCGCAGCAGUGGGGAAUAUUGGGCAAUGGACGCAAGUCUGACCCAGCAACGCCGCGUGAAGGAAGAAGGCUUUCGGGUUGUAAACUUCUUUUAAGGGGGAAGAGCAGAAGACAGUACCCCUUGAAUAAGCCACGGCUAACUACGUGCCAGCAGCCGCGGUAAUACGUAGGUGGCAAGCGUUGUCCGGAUUUACUGAGUGUAAAGGGCGUGCAGCCGGGAAGACAAGUCAGAUGUGAAAUCCCGCGGCGCCACUGCGCAACUGCAUUUGAAACUGCUUUUCUUGAG
RNAcentral lists this ribosomal RNA (294 nucleotides) under uncultured bacterium. RNAcentral's name for it is "partial 16S ribosomal RNA". It matches the Rfam family "Bacterial small subunit ribosomal RNA", at positions 337 to 646 of the family's 1533-position model. The record is from RNAcentral.